GUUCUUAUAGUUUAAAAAAAACAUUGGUCUUGUAAACCAAAAUUGAUUUAUCUAAAAACA
RNAcentral lists this transfer RNA (60 nucleotides) under Cerynia lineola. RNAcentral's name for it is "tRNA-Thr". It matches the Rfam family "tRNA". Rfam says of the family: Transfer RNA (tRNA) molecules are approximately 80 nucleotides in length. Their secondary structure includes four short double-helical elements and three loops (D, anti-codon, and T loops). Further hydrogen bonds mediate the characteristic L-shaped molecular structure. tRNAs have two regions of fundamental functional importance: the anti-codon, which is responsible for specific mRNA codon recognition, and the 3' end, to which the tRNAs corresponding amino acid is attached (by aminoacyl-tRNA synthetases). tRNAs cope with the degeneracy of the genetic code in two manners: having more than one tRNA (with a specific anti-codon) for a particular amino acid; and 'wobble' base-pairing, i.e. permitting non-standard base-pairing at the 3rd anti-codon position. Lineage: Eukaryota; Metazoa; Arthropoda; Insecta; Hemiptera; Flatidae. The record is from RNAcentral.